Long non-coding RNA from Anas platyrhynchos (mallard), 3560 nucleotides. RefSeq lists it as uncharacterized. Lineage: Eukaryota; Metazoa; Chordata; Aves; Anseriformes; Anatidae. The record is from RefSeq and is a predicted model, not a curated record.
UCCCAGCUGAUUGUAAGAGUGCUCUGUUGCCAUCACAAAAGACUCUCUUCUUUGGGAGAAAAGCUGAGUUUCCGGUGUGAGAUCAUCAGGUUCAAGAAAAGGAGAAAAAAAUGCUCUUAAAAAAUAACUGAAACAGACAGCAGAGCGGGAACUGGUGAUUGUCUGGCACACAGUCAGAUUGUCAGUCAUGGCAAGGCACGAGCAACACGGGCUUUGCAGCUGCAGGCUGAAAAAAAUCAGUGAGACUAAACAUCUGAAAGGCAAUUAACAUACAAGGUUCUCACCAUGCCUUCUGAUAGCUUUUUCGUCUCUCCUGGAUUGACAAGGUAAAACUGAUUGUACAUAAGAAGGUUUUGGCCUGAUUACAAGAGUUGGGGGCCAGGAAGUUUGUCUGCAGAAUUUAUUUAAUUUUAAUGGGAUGAAGCCGGCACUGUUCCAAGGGAGCUGGAUCCUGGUGAAAAAGAGGGUGUUUCUCUCCAACUAGGCUCUGGACUCAGAUUGACUCUGGACUCUGUCUGUAAAAUGCUUGAGUCUUCAGAAGUUUAGGUGCUUGGCCAAGUAAUGCCUAGUUCCUGUCAGAUGCUGUGGGCUAUAUAAUUCCUAUGACAGAGGGAAGCAGCUUAUAUAGCAGAUUUAUGACCAGCACAAAGAAAGCAUUCAUGGAUUCUGGUUCAUCACCGAAGUUGUGAAUGCACAGAGCAUUUAACUCUACAUGGCAUGAAGAGCUGCUGAACCUACAGAACAGUACAUUUAGUUUCCGAACUGUUAGCAGAAAAUUCAUACUGCAGAGAAUAUUAUCCACUGUUGCUUCAUCCUCACUGGUACGUCAGCAUUCAGCUAUUCUACACAUUAAGCAGACGCCACAUAGGAUGAUAGGAGAGAAAAAAGAAAUGGGAAGAAAGAGGGUGAGCUCUGAUGGAAUUUAGAUAGGAUAAUUCUGAAAAUAAUACAACGAUAUGGUACAAAACUUUUGUAUGUUGAAAUAAGUCUGUGUUUCCUAGAAAACAAUUAUGAAAUAACUACAGACAUGAAAACUUAGCCCCAAUCCAUGCCAGUAGAAGCAACUGGGAGGACACAAAUAAAAAUUAUAUGUGAACUACAAGAGCUCAUUCAGCAUGCAGCUCCCAGGAAAGAGGUCCAAGUGGAAACAUAACUGUGUAGAUAUCACUUCAAAACCUUUUGGUGGGAAGAUAGUAGGUGGCUGAUGGUGAAAGCUUCAGGGUUGGUUUCCACCUCAGUCCUGACAUACAAUGCCUUGUAUUCAUGACCACACAUCAUAUUAAUAGAAGAAAGCACAGCAUGCAGAUCUCAGUUGGUCAUUAAUAAUGAAAGCUCUCUCUUAAGUAAAUUAUGAUCUUAUUUUGGAAUGUACUGUACUUUCUCUGUAAUAUGAAACCAUGAAAUUCAUUAUUGUUUUUGGAAAUAAGUGUACUUUUGGUCCAAGUUCAAUGGUACAAUUCAUGAUUAGUCAUAUCUCUACUAAAGAGUAUGAAAUUGUGCCCAGUUCUGCUGGUAGUGGAUUUGACCAAGUUAUCUGUGGAAUGAACCUCCUCAGAGUUUUGGCUCAGAGACAGAGAAAGGAGAUGAGAAAAAAUAUCUUGACUCUCAGUUGUGAAAAAACAAAAUAAAUCACAGGCAUGCAUUUAUGUGGAAGAGAUAAUAUAACAGCCAAUAUUAGAAACAGAAUAUUCACACAAUUUGCAGCAUGCGCUUUUGAAUGAUGCUAUUGAAGAUUCAACUUUGCUAAGUAAAUAUAUGAUAAAAUGAUUAUAGUUCCUGACUAAGGAUCCUCUGUGCAAUUCACAAUAACUCUGUCGAGUCAAAAGGAAAAGAAUCAGAAAUAAAGACAUUUAUGGAAGUUCUAAAAGGUGAAGGGAAAGGAAAUGGUAUUGUUAAUGUAGCAGAUCCUUAAAAUAGUGAGUGAGUAGAAAUACUUUUAUACAAAGACUGAAAUGUAACAGACACCCACAUCACUGCAAUUCAGCCUCCUUCCUCUCCUUCAUUUCGUGUCAGAUUUCUUUUAUUAACCUAUCUAAUCUUUUUAAUUUGUAAAAUAGAAAGAAUAAUGUUCCCUUACUCACAGGAUGCUAUAUUGCUUAAUACAUUUGAAGUAUUUUGAAAUACAUGGAUUGUCCAUUCUGAAAAAGUUUUGAGAGUUUUAAUUGUGAUAAAAGGGUAGAGGUAGAUUUUAUCUAUCUUUUUAAAAUGGUAGAUGGAUUUUAUCAAUCAUUAUCUACUGGAUACUGAGAAUCUCUGUUACAUUGCUAAAACCUUGAGAACAUAUUUUAAGUAUUCCUAAACUAAUCAAUUUCUGCUUAUAUAGGUGCAGGUAUAUAGAUAUAGAUAAUAUAUUAUCUAUAAAUAUCUAUAACUUUAUGUUAAGACUAUUUUUGAGAAAUCAAAAAAUGAGGAUUGUUAAAAUCAUAUUGGAAUUGUUAACCAGACAUUUACCUAAAUCAUCGGCAUGAAAGCUGAAAGAACAGGAAGCCACUAAUUAGGAAGGAACAUUGUGAUUUCUUUCCUCCUUGUUGAGUUCAUGCUAAAUGACUCUUGUUCAUUCAGUCUGUUAUUGUGGAUCAUGGAUUCAUCAACCUCUGGUCAUUUUUGGUUUCCUCAUUUAGGUUUUCUCCAAGUUUUCAUCUUUCAAAGAGUAGCCAAUUAAAUGAUGAUAUGGACAAAAUAUAUCUUCUAGAUAAUAUUAUGAAUUCUAUUUCUAUCAGCUAAUUAUUUCAGUCUCCACUGAACAGUGAAUCAAUGAGAUUGCUUCUUAACAUGUCUUUCUUUUUCAGUGUGCAUGCUGAGGAUUCUUCAGAUUGUAUGGUACCUCUUACUACGAAUAAAAGUGGUGUUAUAACACAGAAUGAAGACCCUAAUAAAAGAAAGUAGUCAAAUGAACAUGCUUUUGCAGGAUAUAUUAUUGCAAACAAAAACUUUAAUAAAAAGUUAGGAUUAACAUUUAAUUUGAUAUAAUUUAAAUAUUCCAAAAUGUAUCUCCUAUUACUCUAGCAGUGACUCAAAGAUAUUGCAAUAAAAAAACUCGAUUAAUUGGUAUUACAUAUUUUAAGAGCAUUAGUCAGUUGUAUUGAAAUAUCCAAGAAUUCAUGUAAGAAAGGAGAGAAAACUGGGUUAUAUUCUCGAGUCACCUGUAUUACACUAUAUUAUUUUCUGGAUCUACAUUUUAUUAUUUUGUUGCUAUGACUUAUGACUUACUGCAAAAAUGCAAUAUUAUUGGAGAAAGGGUAUUUGUUGAAUCUCAGAGUUCAUUUUGCAACUGAUUUUAUGUCAAAAUUUCUCUUUCUAAAUGUUACUGCUAAUUAGGGGUAACUGAUGUUUUGCAUUUCUAAUGGAAGUUCCAAAGUAAGAAUAGAUAAAUUAAUAAAGGCACACUAAGAAAUCACUCAGACUUUCAGACUUCAGUUAUCUGUUCUAUUCAUAAAAUGGUUUGACAUCUUCAGGCUUGCAGGGAAUAAAAUGAACCAGGAAGAUCCCAGAAUGUACUGAAUUGUUGUCUUGGUAAUACCCCCAAAUGAAUUUUGUAGGCUAAUAAGGACUAUCUCUAA